UACGAAGGGUGCAAGCGUUACUCGGAAUUACUGGGCGUAAAGCGUGCGUAGGUGGUUUGUUAAGUCUGAUGUGAAAGCCCUGGGCUCAACCUGGGAAUUGCAUUGGAUACUGGCAGGCUGGAGUACGGUAGAGGAAGGUGGAAUUCCCGGUGUAGCAGUGAAAUGCGUAGAUAUCGGGAGGAACACCAGUGGCGAAGGCGGCCUUCUGGACCAGUACUGACGCUCAUGCACGAAAGCGUGGGGAGCAAACAGG
Molecule: ribosomal RNA, 253 nt
Filed under: uncultured bacterium
Lineage: Bacteria
Description: partial 16S ribosomal RNA
Rfam family: Bacterial small subunit ribosomal RNA
Source: RNAcentral